Pangasianodon hypophthalmus (striped catfish) is the source of this 427-nucleotide long non-coding RNA. RefSeq lists it as uncharacterized. The record is from RefSeq and is a predicted model, not a curated record. NCBI's taxonomy places the organism in Eukaryota, Metazoa, Chordata, Actinopteri, Siluriformes, Pangasiidae. The transcript is spliced from 3 exons.
GCGCAUGGUGAGACUCGUAGAGCGGCUCUUCUGCGGCUACGGAGGACGAGACCUGCUGCACUGCGUCUGAAACCAUAAAGAGACGUUUAAUGUGGAACGUCCAUGAGACAAUUAAGUAGAAAAAAAGUGUCAUGUUACAGAGAAAACGCGAAGCGUAAACUCCUCUGUCCUGAAGAUGUCAGAAAACUUAAAUUUACAGCUUUACCUCUGACAAAGUGCUGACACUGGAGACUCCUUCCAUAAAGAUUAAAUAAACAUCUAAGCCUUGUCUAACCUCUUCUGGAGCUCCUCGAGCGUGCGCUGCAGUUUCUGGUUCUCCUGCCGAAUCCUGGCCGACUCGUCGCGGUAUUCAGACACGGCCUGACCCAUCAGACGCAGGACCUCGUGCACGGCCGUCGCCAAAAGCUCGGCCACGUUGGUGACCAGG